AUUGAACGCUGGCGGCAGGCCUAACACAUGCAAGUCGAACGGUAACAGGAAGAAGCUUGCUUCUUUGCUGACGAGUGGCGGACGGGUGAGUAAUGUCUGGGAAACUGCCUGAUGGAGGGGGAUAACUACUGGAAACGGUAGCUAAUACCGCAUAACGUCGCAAGACCAAAGAGGGGGACCUUCGGGCCUCUUGCCAUCGGAUGUGCCCAGAUGGGAUUAGCUAGUAGGUGGGGUAACGGCUCACCUAGGCGACGAUCCCUAGCUGGUCUGAGAGGAUGACCAGCCACACUGGAACUGAGACACGGUCCAGACUCCUACGGGAGGCAGCAGUGGGGAAUAUUGCAUAAUGGGCGCAAGCCUGAUGCAGCCAUGCCGCGUGUAUGAAGAAGGCCUUCGGUUGUAAGUACUUUCUAGCGGGGAGGAAGGGAGUAAGUAA
This 436-nucleotide ribosomal RNA is filed under the name uncultured bacterium. RNAcentral's name for it is "bacterial SSU rRNA". It matches the Rfam family "Bacterial small subunit ribosomal RNA", at positions 30 to 462 of the family's 1533-position model. The record is from RNAcentral.